UUGGAUGAUUCGGUGAGGUCUCGGACCGAUGCUUCGUGUUGAUCCGUUGCGGAUUGGCUGUUGCGUUGGGAAGUUGGCCGAACCCAACCCAUCUAGAGGAAGUAAAAGUCGUAACAAGGUUUCCGUAGGUGAACCUGCGGGAAGGAUCAUUA
Molecule: ribosomal RNA, 152 nt
Filed under: Eustrongylides sp. 71 XF-2009
Lineage: Eukaryota; Metazoa; Nematoda; Enoplea; Dioctophymatida; Dioctophymatidae
Description: partial 18S ribosomal RNA
Rfam family: Eukaryotic small subunit ribosomal RNA
Source: RNAcentral